CGAUUAUGAUUAAAGAUGGCCUCUAGCUUGCUAUGCUAUCGCCUUGAGAGGGGCCAGCGUCCUAUCAGGUUGUUGGUAGGGUAAAAGCCUACCAAGCCUACGACGGGUAGCUGGCAUUAGUGUGUGGUCAGCCACACCGGGACUGAGACACUGCCCGGACUCCUACGGGAGGCUGCAGUCGAGAAUCUUUUCCAAUGGACGAAAGUCUGAGAAUGCGACGUCGCGUGAGGGAUGAAGCGUUUCGGCGUGUAAACCUCUUUUAUCAGAGAAGAACGCUUUUGCGGUAAAUAAUCGCUAAAGUUUGACUGUAUCUGAUGAAUAAGCCACGGCUAACUCCGUGCCAGCAGCCGCGGUAAUACGGGGGUGGCAAGCGUUACUCGGUUUAACUGGGUGUAAAGGGUCUGUAGGCGGCGAGAGAAGUAGAAGGUGAAAUCCUUCGGCUUAACCGAAGAACUGCUUUCUAAACUCUCUCACUCGAGGAUGGAAGAGGAGAGUGGAACUGCCAGUGUAAGGGUGAAAUCUGUGAUAUUGGCAGGAACGCCCAUGACGAAGGUAACUCUCUGGUCCAAUCCUGACGCUGAGGGACGAAAGCUAGGGGAGCAAACAGGAUUAGAUACCCUGGUAGUCCUAGCUGUAAACGAUGGGCACUAGGUGUUUCUGCCUUUGGCAGGGGUGCCGAAGCUAACGCGUUAAGUGCCCCACCUGGGGACUACGGCCGCAAGGCUAAAACUCAAAGGAAUUGACGGGGGCCCGCACAAGCGGUGGAACACGUGGUUUAAUUCGAUGCUACGCGAGGGACCUUACCAGGGCUUGACAUGCUGGAAGUAGUUCUGGUGAAAGUCGGAACGACCUGUAUCCAAUCAGGUACCAGCACAGGUGCUGCAUGGCUGUCGUCAGCUCGUGCCGUGAGGUGUUACCUUAAGUGGUAAAACGAGCGCAACCCUCGCACUUAGUUGCCAUCGCUCUGGCGUUAUGUCAGAGGCUGGGCACUCUAAGUGGACUGCCCACGUUAAGUGGGAGGAAGGUGAGGACGACGUCAAGUCCGCAUGGCCCUUAUGUCCUGGGCUACACACGUGUUACAAUGGCGCGUACAACGGGAGGCAAUACCGUAAGGUGGAGCAAAUCCUUUAAAGCGCGCCUCAGUUCGGAUCGAGGUUUGCAACUCAGCCUCGUGAAGCCGGAAUCGCUAGUAAUGGCGCAUCAGCUACGGCGCCGUGAAUACGUUCCCGGGCCUUGUACACACCGCCCGUCAAGCGCUGAAAGUGAGGAGCGCCCGAAUCCCGAUGUAGGUCGGUACACGGUGAAUUUCAUGAUUGGCGCUAAGUCGAAACAAGGUA
Molecule: ribosomal RNA, 1337 nt
Filed under: metagenome
Description: bacterial SSU rRNA
Rfam family: Bacterial small subunit ribosomal RNA
Source: RNAcentral